UUUCGACGCAUCGAAGCAAAACAUCGAUAUUUUCGAUGCAUCGAUGUUUUUCCGACAUCCCUACCGAUUUCGCACAGGCAAGGGAUACGAACGGAGUCCGUCGGAAUUUGCACGGCAAUAAAUUCCUAUUUUUUUAUAAGUUACUCGUAUUUUUGCAUUGUUUUAGUUAUUGGAUAAUAAAGUAGAUAUGGCGUUGAAUCCACAGUACGAGGAUAUCGGUAAAGGAUUUGUGCAACAAUAUUAUGCGACUUUUGACGAUCCCAAUCUCAGACCGAAUGUGGCCAAUUUCUAUAGUGCAACAGAUUCGUUUAUGUCCUUUGAAGGCGUACAAUUACAAGGUGCCCCUAAAAUAAUGGAAAAGUUAUCCAGCCUAUCGUUCCAGAAAAUCUCACGAGUUAUAACAGCAGUUGAUUCCCAACCAAUGUUUGAUGGUGGCGUUUUAAUCAACGUGCUGGGAAGGCUUAAGACCGAUGAUGACCAGCCGCAUGCGUACAUUCAGACAUUUGUUCUUAAGCCUGUGGGUGGUAGUUUCUUCGUACAACAUGACAUUUUCAGACUAUCACUACACGACGUAUAGUCACGCGGAAUAUAUGUACAUAUGCUUCGCGUUUACUGCCUUAGACUCGCACUCGACGGUGAACGCUGCAGCUACUGCUACGUUAAAUAGAAGAAUAUUUUUGAAUAACUAUGCUACUUUGCUAACGUAUGUUAUCUUAAUUAACGAAAAAAAUAUAUAUGCAAAUCAAAUGGCAACAAUUUAGGAUAAUAAAUUUGACUGACUAGUGACUGUGUCGCGCGUAAAGUCGCCAGCUUUGCCACCAAACACCGCCUGCCGAUACGCUAGGAUGUGCGAUCAUUAGAUGAAGCCUAUUCAGCGUUUUCGGUAUUAAUUCCACUACAUAAACGAAAUCGUAUACGAUGCGAGCCGAUGACCACAAACAUGAGUUUUUCUGUGAUGAGGAUCCACCACAUGCUUUCUCGCAAGUCUUCGUUUUGAGGCCACUCGGCGGUACAUUUUUCUGUGCACAUGACAUCUUUCGUUUGAAUAUACACGACACAGCCUAGUUGUGUUAACAUUUUGAUUACAUUUAUAAUAAUAAUGAUAUAAAUAUUAAAAAAUGGAGUGAUUGUAAUAACGUUA
Molecule: RNA transcript, 1141 nt
Organism: Rhagoletis pomonella (apple maggot)
Lineage: Eukaryota; Metazoa; Arthropoda; Insecta; Diptera; Tephritidae
Gene: Ntf-2
Gene name: probable nuclear transport factor 2
Exons: 5
Source: RefSeq, a predicted model, not a curated record